RNAcentral lists this ribosomal RNA (2788 nucleotides) under Enterobacter cloacae. Its description in RNAcentral is "bacterial LSU rRNA". It matches the Rfam family "Bacterial large subunit ribosomal RNA". The record is from RNAcentral. Lineage: Bacteria; Pseudomonadati; Pseudomonadota; Gammaproteobacteria; Enterobacterales; Enterobacteriaceae.
AGCGUACACGGUGGAUGCCCUGGCAGUCAGAGGCGAUGAAGGACGUGCUAAUCUGCGAAAAGCGCCGGCGAGGUGAUAUGAACCUUUGACCCGGCGAUGUCCGAAUGGGGAAACCCAGUGCAAUUCGUUGCACUAUCGUUAACUGAAUACAUAGGUUAACGAGGCGAACCGGGGGAACUGAAACAUCUAAGUACCCCGAGGAAAAGAAAUCAACCGAGAUUCCCCCAGUAGCGGCGAGCGAACGGGGAGCAGCCCGGAGUCUGAAUCAGCUUGUGUGUUAGUGGAACGGUCUGGAAAGUCCGACGGUACAGGGUGAUAGUCCCGUACACGAAAGCACACAUGCUGUGAACUCGAAGAGUAGGGCGGGACACGUGGUAUCCUGUCUGAAUAUGGGGGGACCAUCCUCCAAGGCUAAAUACUCCUGACUGACCGAUAGUGAACCAGUACCGUGAGGGAAAGGCGAAAAGAACCCCGGCGAGGGGAGUGAAAAAGAACCUGAAACCGUGUACGUACAAGCAGUGGGAGCCUCUUUAUGGGGUGACUGCGUACCUUUUGUAUAAUGGGUCAGCGACUUAUAUUCUGUAGCAAGGUUAACCGUAUAGGGGAGCCGAAGGGAAACCGAGUCUUAACUGGGCGUUAAGUUGCAGGGUAUAGACCCGAAACCCGGUGAUCUAGCCAUGGGCAGGUUGAAGGUUGGGUAACACUAACUGGAGGACCGAACCGACUAAUGUUGAAAAAUUAGCGGAUGACCUGUGGCUGGGGGUGAAAGGCCAAUCAAACCGGGAGAUAGCUGGUUCUCCCCGAAAGCUAUUUAGGUAGCGCCUCGUGAACUCAUCUUCGGGGGUAGAGCACUGUUUCGGCUAGGGGGCCAUCCCGGCUUACCAACCCGAUGCAAACUACGAAUACCGAAGAAUGUUAUCACGGGAGACACACGGCGGGUGCUAACGUCCGUCGUGAAGAGGGAAACAACCCAGACCGCCAGCUAAGGUCCCAAAGUCAUGGUUAAGUGGGAAACGAUGUGGGAAGGCACAGACAGCCAGGAUGUUGGCUUAGAAGCAGCCAUCAUUUAAAGAAAGCGUAAUAGCUCACUGGUCGAGUCGGCCUGCGCGGAAGAUGUAACGGGGCUAAACCAUGCACCGAAGCUGCGGCAGCGACACUAUGUGUUGUUGGGUAGGGGAGCGUUCUGUAAGCCGUUGAAGGUGUCCUGUGAGGGGUGCUGGAGGUAUCAGAAGUGCGAAUGCUGACAUAAGUAACGAUAAAGCGGGUGAAAAGCCCGCUCGCCGGAAGACCAAGGGUUCCUGUCCAACGUUAAUCGGGGCAGGGUGAGUCGACCCCUAAGGCGAGGCCGAAAGGCGUAGUCGAUGGGAAACAGGUUAAUAUUCCUGUACUUGGUGUUACUGCGAAGGGGGGACGGAGAAGGCUAUGUCAGCCGGGCGACGGUUGUCCCGGUUUAAGCAUGUAGGCGGAGGUUCCAGGUAAAUCCGGUACCUUAUUAACGCUGAGGUGUGAUGACGAGGCACUACGGUGCUGAAGUGAUAAAUGCCCUGCUUCCAGGAAAAGCCUCUAAGCAUCAGGUAACACGAAAUCGUACCCCAAACCGACACAGGUGGUCAGGUAGAGAAUACCAAGGCGCUUGAGAGAACUCGGGUGAAGGAACUAGGCAAAAUGGUGCCGUAACUUCGGGAGAAGGCACGCUGAUAUGUAGGUGAAGUCCCUGCGGACGGAGCUGAAAUCAGUCGAAGAUACCAGCUGGCUGCAACUGUUUAUUAAAAACACAGCACUGUGCAAACACGAAAGUGGACGUAUACGGUGUGACGCCUGCCCGGUGCCGGAAGGUUAAUUGAUGGGGUUAGCGGCAACGCGAAGCUCUUGAUCGAAGCCCCGGUAAACGGCGGCCGUAACUAUAACGGUCCUAAGGUAGCGAAAUUCCUUGUCGGGUAAGUUCCGACCUGCACGAAUGGCGUAAUGAUGGCCAGGCUGUCUCCACCCGAGACUCAGUGAAAUUGAACUCGCUGUGAAGAUGCAGUGUACCCGCGGCAAGACGGAAAGACCCCGUGAACCUUUACUAUAGCUUGACACUGAACACUGGUCCUUGAUGUGUAGGAUAGGUGGGAGGCUUUGAAGCGUGGACGCCAGUCUGCGUGGAGCCAACCUUGAAAUACCACCCUUUAAUGGCUGGUGUUCUAACGUAGACCCGUAAUCCGGGUUGCGGACAGUGUCUGGUGGGUAGUUUGACUGGGGCGGUCUCCUCCCAAAGAGUAACGGAGGAGCACGAAGGUUGGCUAAUCCUGGUCGGACAUCAGGAGGUUAGUGCAAUGGCAUAAGCCAGCUUGACUGCGAGCGUGACGGCGCGAGCAGGUGCGAAAGCAGGUCAUAGUGAUCCGGUGGUUCUGAAUGGAAGGGCCAUCGCUCAACGGAUAAAAGGUACUCCGGGGAUAACAGGCUGAUACCGCCCAAGAGUUCAUAUCGACGGCGGUGUUUGGCACCUCGAUGUCGGCUCAUCACAUCCUGGGGCUGAAGUAGGUCCCAAGGGUAUGGCUGUUCGCCAUUUAAAGUGGUACGCGAGCUGGGUUUAGAACGUCGUGAGACAGUUCGGUCCCUAUCUGCCGUGGGCGCUGGAGAAUUGAGGGGGGCUGCUCCUAGUACGAGAGGACCGGAGUGGACGCAUCACUGGUGUUCGGGUUGUCAUGCCAAUGGCACUGCCCGGUAGCUAAAUGCGGAAAAGAUAAGUGCUGAAAGCAUCUAAGCACGAAACUUGCCCCGAGAUGAGUUCUCCCUGAGACCUUGA